UCAGUUCUUUAUCGGAAUCUGAGGCAGUAAGGACACAGAAUAUCGGUGAGACUUCGAACCUGAUGGAGAAGUUUCCUUCAUACGAUCAAUCACAUUUUCCGAAAGCUG
Long non-coding RNA from Pipistrellus kuhlii (Kuhl's pipistrelle), 108 nucleotides. RefSeq lists it as uncharacterized. The transcript has 4 exons. Lineage: Eukaryota; Metazoa; Chordata; Mammalia; Chiroptera; Vespertilionidae. The record is from RefSeq and is a predicted model, not a curated record.